AUUGAACGCUGGCGGCAUGCCUUACACAUGCGAGUCGAACGGUAACAGGUCUUCGGAUGCUGACGAGUGGCGAACGGGUGAGUAAUACAUCGGAACGUGCCCGAUCGUGGGGGAUAACGAAGCGAAAGCUUUGCUAAUACCGCAUACGAUCUACGGAUGAAAGCGGGGGAUCUUCGGACCUCGCGCGGACGGAGCGGCCGAUGGCAGAUUAGGUAGUUGGUGGGAUAAAAGCUUACCAAGCCGACGAUCUGUAGCUGGUCUGAGAGGAUGAUCAGCCACACUGGGACUGAGACACGGCCCAGACUCCUACGGGAGGCAGCAGUGGGGAAUUUUGGACAAUGGGCGCAAGCCUGAUCCAGCCAUGCCGCGUGCAGGAUGAAGGCCUUCGGGUUGUAAACUGCUUUUGUACGGAACGAAAAGGUGCCUUCUAAUAAAGGGCGCUCAUGACGGUACCGUAAGAAUAAGCACCGGCUAACUACGUG
RNAcentral lists this ribosomal RNA (482 nucleotides) under uncultured bacterium. RNAcentral describes it as "partial 16S ribosomal RNA". It matches the Rfam family "Bacterial small subunit ribosomal RNA", at positions 30 to 507 of the family's 1533-position model. The record is from RNAcentral.